RNAcentral lists this long non-coding RNA (218 nucleotides) under Carica papaya (papaya). RNAcentral describes it as "long non-coding RNA (CPAP_LNC011452)". The record is from RNAcentral. Lineage: Eukaryota; Viridiplantae; Streptophyta; Magnoliopsida; Brassicales; Caricaceae.
UUCAUCGCGUUUAAUCGUAACCGUCUAAUCGUAUUUGAGGAGGGAAUGGAUCCCGACUGUCUGUGCACGCAAGAACAAAUCUGGACCGUUCGAUCGCAGGCACGCGGAUUGCCAGCGUGGCCUCCCGCUGGCACCGUGUCUGUGUGCUUUGUCACGCAAUAAGCUUCGGUUCGUCAGGGCUGUUGACUGAGCGUUUUACGUGGUACAAUUUUUCUAAA